This 472-nucleotide ribosomal RNA is filed under the name uncultured bacterium. RNAcentral's name for it is "partial 16S ribosomal RNA". It matches the Rfam family "Bacterial small subunit ribosomal RNA", at positions 28 to 507 of the family's 1533-position model. The record is from RNAcentral.
GACGAACGCUGGCGGCGUGCUUAACACAUGCAAGUCGAACGCUGAAGCUUGGUGCUUGCACUGGGUGGAUGAGUGGCGAACGGGUGAGUAAUACGUGAGUAACCUGCCCUUGACUCUGGGAUAAGCCUGGGAAACUGGGUCUAAUACUGGAUACGACAUGUCACCGCAUGGUGGUGUGUGGAAAGGGUUUUACUGGUUUUGGAUGGGCUCACGGCCUAUCAGCUUGUUGGUGGGGUAAUGGCUCACCAAGGCGACGACGGGUAGCCGGCCUGAGAGGGUGACCGGCCACACUGGGACUGAGACACGGCCCAGACUCCUACGGGAGGCAGCAGUGGGGAAUAUUGCACCAUGGGCGGAAGCCUGAUGCAGCGACGCCGCGUGAGGGGUGACGGCCUUCGGGUUGUAAACCUCUUUCAGCACGGAAGAAGCGAAAGUGACGGUACGUGCAGAAGAAGCGCCGGCUAACUACGUG